UGUGGACUAGUGGAGGGUUUUUGGUUAACCGUUUUUCUAGUCGGUACAGGGGGUGGAUUCGAAGAAUUAAUUGCUGAAGGAGUUGUAGGACUUAAAAGCUGGGUUGCAAAAUGAAUGCAAGACGAAAUUUAGAAGAUGGAGAAGAAAGGGAGAUUUUGUUGCUAUUGGAUGUUCUGAAUACUUAGAGCUAAAUGAUGAAAAUAAAAUAAUUUACGAGCUAAACUUUUGCUGUGAUUGGCGAUGAAUUCCGUCAUGGGGGGAAGGCAUGCAGUCUCUGAUUAUCAUCCCCUUGGCCCUUAGGCUUUUUAAAUGAGGCUUUUUCCGUCUUAAUAAUAUUUCUUGUUUCUCAUCAAGAAGAUAAAUGGAGUUAUCUUUUCAGCCUACCAAGCAAAAUUGUUUCUAAAAAAAAAAACUAUCACUAUCUAAAAGCAUUAGGAAUUAAAUUUACUGUAGUCAAGAAGAUGCUCAGUAACUGGAAAGCAUUUUUUACCUGUUUUGACACUGAAGCUUCGUUAAACCAAAAAAAAAGGAGACAACCUAUUGGUAGAAAGGUCUUUACAAUGAUGUAUUGAUGCCUACAAAAUUAUUUUUUUUGUCUAACAUGGUUCUGACUAGUACCAUAACUUCAAGUGCUUAAUUAUUAUCAUGCACUUAUUAUAUUGUUGAAAACAUGGUGUUAAUUAUCUAUUCCCUUCAACUGAUAUUUAUUUAUCAUUGCUUUAGUUUUGCGCAUGGAGCAAGAUGUUGAAAAGUUUAUUCAUGAUCCUGCUUGACAGCAGCUGCCUACUUCAUAUUUACGGUUAGCUGCGCAUCAGAUUGUCCAACAUUACUCGCUGCAAUCCAUGGUUCUAUUGGAUAAUAGUUUACCUGAUGGGUCUGGUUCCAAAAUUAUCGUUUGCGAUACUUCUGAAUGUCGUCUUCCAGCUAUCCGCCUUGCAGAUAUUCCUGUAAAUCUACCAGCAGAGGAAUAUAGUAGCAUAAAGGUUGCUAUUAAACAGAGGCCACAGAAGUGGUCCCAACUAGCAAGAGAUGCAAGUGCAAAUUCAUCAAAAACGAGGGAUUCCAAAAGUGUGGAAGAGAGGAAAGAGGAGUAUAAUAAAGCUAGUGCUCAAAUAUUUAACUCCAGCAGCAAUUCAGGCUGUCAUGCAAGUGAGAAAGUAGAUGCUGAUCCUAGACCACAGGAUAGUUAUCGUGGUUGUUUGAGUGCUGCAAAGGUUGAGGAGAAGAUGAUUCUUGGAGUUCCUGAUAUAAAUUUUAGUAGGGGUUUGAUUGACUGUUCCACGAGUAGCAGUAGAAUAAAUAGAAGGUAGGACUGACAAGGAGCUGCCUAGUAGGCAGUACAAACCAAAUAGUAGGGUAGCCAUUCUUAGAGAUCGUGAGAUUGGCAGCAAGGACCCUGAUUAUGACAGGAGUUAUGAUAGGUAUGAAAUGCAAUCCUUUAUUCUCUUGGUUUGAUCUCAAUGUGUGUGUAUAUACAUAUAUAUUUGCAAAAUCUCUCGUUUAAAAGGUCUAUCCAAAAACAUGUUCUAAAAGUUUUCUCGCUUCAAACUCUGUUUACGAACUCUUUCCAAAACACUUCUUGGACAUUUCUCUUUGUUUUUGUUGUUUUUCUUUGAAAAAUAAGAUAUUUUACAAAACUUCUGAAAAACUGCAUGAGCAAGGAUGUUGGCCACACACAGGGCAAUGAGCAGCAAGGCAACAUGCACCAUGGUGCGCGGAAGAUGUUGUCUUGGUGCCAUCUUUGCACAUGCGGAAGCGAACUUUCAAAUGGCAUUUACAAAGCAUUGUGGAAAACACUUUUUUUUCUUCCUAUUUUCUUCUAGAAAGUCUUUCCAGAACAUAUGUAUAUAUAUGUGUGUGUAUAUACAUAUAUAUUUGCAAAAUCUCUCGUUUAAAAGGUCUAUACAAGAACAUGUUCUAAAAGUUUUCUCGCUUCAAAUUCUGUUUACGAACUCUUUCCAAAACACUUCUUGGACGUUUCUUUUUUUUUGUUUUUGUUUUUUUCUUUGAAAAAUAAGAUAUUUUACAAAACUUUUGAAAAACUGCAUGAGCAAGGAUGUUGCCACACACAGGGCAAUGAGCAGCAAGGCAACAUGCACCAUGGUGCGCGGAAGAUGUUGUCUUGGUGCCAUCUUUGCACAUGCGGAAGCGAACUUUCAAAUGGCAUUUACAAAACAUUGUGGAAAACACUUUUUUUUCUUCCUAUUUUCUUCUAGAAAGUCUUUCCAGAACAUAUGUAUAUAUAUGUGUGUGUAUAUACAUAUAUAUUUGCAAAAUCUCUCGUUUAAAAGGUCUAUACAAGAACAUGUUCUAAAAGUUUUCUCGCUUCAAAUUCUGUUUACGAACUCUUUCCAAACACUUCUUGGACGUUUCUUUUUGUUUUUGUUUUUGUUUUUUUCUUUGAAAAAAAAUAUUUUACAAAACUUUUGAAAAACUGCAUGAGCAAGGAUGUUGGCCACACACAGGGCAAUGAGCAGCAAGGCAACAUGCACCAUGGUGCGCGGAAGAUGUUGUCUUGGUGCCAUCUUUGCACAUGCGGAAGCGAACUUUCAAAUGGCAUUUACAAAACAUUGUGGAAAACACUUUUUUUUCUUCCUAUUUUCUUCUAGAAAGUCUUUCCAGAACAUAUGUAUAUAUAUGUGUGUGUAUAUACAUAUAUAUUUGCAAAAUCUCUCGUUUAAAAGGUCUAUACAAGAACAUGUUCUAAAAGUUUUCUCGCUUCAAAUUCUGUUUACGAACUCUUUCCAAAACACUUCUUGGACGUUUCUUUUGUUUUUGUUUUUGUUUUUUUCUUUGAAAAAUAAGAUAUUUUACAAAACUUUUGAAAAACUGCAUGAGCAAGGAUGUUGGCCACACACAGGGCAAUGAGCAGCAAGGCAACAUGCACCAUGGUGCGCGGAAGAUGUUGUCUUGGUGCCAUCUUUGCACAUGCGCGAACUUUCAAAUGGCAUUUACAAAACAUUGUGGAAAACACUUUUUUUUCUUCCUAUUUUCUUCUAGAAAGUCUUUCCAGAACAUAUGUAUAUAUAUGUGUGUGUAUAUACAUAUAUUUGCAAAAUCUCUCGUUUAAACAGUCUAUCUAAAAUUAUUUUCUAAAGGUUUUAUCGCUUUAAAUUCUAUUUACGAACUCUUUCCAACAUAUUUCUUGAAUUGUUGUCUUCCUUUGCGGUUUUGUUUUGUUUUCCUCAAAAAGAUGAUAUUUCACAUAACUUUCGAUAAACUGCACGAGCAAGGGUAUUGGCCACACAGGGCAAAUUUUAUUUUAAAAGGCCUAUCCAUUAACAGUUUCUAAAAGUUUUCUCACUUCAAAUUUUGUUUUUAAAAUCGUUUCAGAAUCUUUUCUUGAAGUUUCGUCUUCAACUUUUUUUAUAAAGAAAAAAAAAACAUUUCAUUCAACUUUCAAUAUACUCGGCGAGCAAGACAGCAUACAGUCGAUGUGUGGAAGACACAGCCUUGGUGCCACUAUGGCACAGGCAGUCAAACAAACUUACAUAAUAUUGUCUUACCUUUUUUCUCUUCUUUUUUUUUCUCUAAAAAACUCUUUCCAAAACACAUUUUCAAUUUAGAAAAAACACAUUCUCUCCAAUGUAGAUUUUGCAAAAUAAAUUCUGUGUAUAAAUAUUACUUGAGAGUGAAUUUUCACUUUUGUGUUUUUUCUAUAUCUUACAUUUAUCUCUUCAUGAUUAUUGGAUAUGUGCUGUAACUUUUCUCGUAUGUUUCCAUAUAAAUUACAAAUGUUGUAUAACAUUUAUCAAUGUAGAAAAAAUCUUAGGUGAUUAAAGGAAAGUUGAUUGUCCAGAAAUUACUUUUUCCUAUUUCAUCAUCAACCGACCUCAAGGCCUCCUAUGGUUGUUCUAUUUUUCAUUUUUAUUUUCUUGAAAUUAAGUCUAUAAACGCUCAUUCUACCUUUAGUUAUACGUUCUAAAAUUAUAUUAUAUUUUAGUUUGACUUCUUGUAUAUUAUUAUUUUGGUACAUUUCUACCAUUUCUACAUUUUAUUUGCACAUAAUUAUAUGUUCUUUUUAUAAUGAUAGAUAACUUCUUUGUUACAAUGUCCAGUUAUUUGACAAUCAUUCAUUUCUAGUUCUGAUUAAUUUUUCUUUGUUAUCACGGGGCACUUUACAGGUAUUUUUAUUUUACUUCUUUUGAUGGAUUUAUUUUUCUUUAGUUUUUCUUCCAACAUUUUCUCUCUCAUCUUUUUCUACUUUUCUUAAGUAUAUUAUUAAAUUUUAUAUCUCUGGAGUCUUGGUAGAAGUUAUUUAUUUUUGCGGUAGGGGUGAUUUCUCUUUUUUGCCCAUUCUGUUUUCUUGGUUCUCUUUCUUUUUUUAUACAAUGGUAACUGAAACAUUCAAAGCCUUGCUUUCGGCUUCCCUAGCUAGCCACAGUGAUGUAUUAUAUGCAAAUGGCAGUUUUCCUUUGGACACUGAGAAAAGGCAAAUGCAAAUGGCAACUGCACGGUACACCUUACAGGACAGUUUUUGAUGCUUUUGCAGGUAAUUUGUAUUAGUUGUGUUAUGUCUGGAAGUGAUUUUAUAUUAUUAUAGUUGUACUAGAUGUUCUAUCCUUGGGACGCAGAGAAAAGGCAAAUGCAAAUGAAGAGUACACACUGUCCUGGAUGAUACUUUGCAGGUAAUUUGUAUUAGUUGUUAUGUCUGGAAGCGAUUUUAUAUUAUCAUAUUGUUAGUUGUUAUAAGUAAUUCUGAAGUCUGACAAUGAUUAUUUAGAGUGAAAUCUGGGCAGGUUUGUUGGAGACAAACCGUCUGACAUACAUGAUUUAUGUUCUUUGUAGUUCUGUGCUCAUUGCCUAUGUGAGUAUAGUCUACUUUCUUGUCCUCACAAUCUUUUCCCAACCUUUUCAUGUCUUUCAUAUUUUGAACUGCAUUCAUGGUUUUCGUAUAACUAUAAUAGACGCUCUUAUUCUUUUACUGUGAAACCACUUUUAGUUAUCUAUUUGCAAUAUGCUGUAUGUUCUAUUAGACAGCUACUUGUAGGAGUAUAGAUGAUGAAAUAAACAGAUUUAUUUUGUUAGACGAAAUCUAGUUGAGGAAUUUGACGUUUUUCUUCCUUUAUGUAAAAUCCUAAUAUUAGAAAACUAAGCAAAAGCAGAAAUAGUUUGCAGAGCUGUAGCUUAGGAAUUAUUUUCCUCAAUUUGACUUGAUGUUUGACGCAGGUAUAUGGAUGGGUGAUGGAUAUAUUGCUUUUGAGUGAUUUUUCACUUUUGUAUUCAUUUCUCUUUACCAUUACGGGAUCUGUCUUAUAACCUUUCUCAUGAUUUUCUACGUGAAUUGCAAUUGUUGUAUAAUAUUUUAUCAUAUUAGAAAGAUAUGAGGUGAUUAAAGAAAAAUUGAUUGUCCGGAAAUCAAUUUUUCUUAUUACACCUCAUGUCAAUGCCCAAAUUCCAUAACCAUUUGGUUAUUGUUAUCUUAAAAUUUUGAAAAUUGAGUCUAUAAACACUCAUUCUACUAGAAUUAUAUCAUAUUCUUUAGUUUGAUAUCUUGUAUAUUAUUAUUUUGGUACAUUUCUUUUGUCUUAUUCGCACCAAAUACCACGUUUCUUUGUUUGUUUGCAUGUGGUGCUUUCAAGGUAUUUUUCCUUUACCUCUGUUGACAAAAAAAUAUUUUGUGUACUUCUUCUUGGUACAUUUUCCUUUUCUUCUCAUCAUUUGCUACUUUAUUUUAAAGUAGAUUAUGAAAUUUUAUUUAUUUAUUUUUGGUGGAUGAAUUUUUGUUUUUGUUUUUGUUUUUUUUUGCCAUUUAUGAUCUCUUGUUGGUUCUUUUUCUUUUUUGAUGUUAGUUUUUUUAGUUUUGGAUUUGAAUUGAUAUUUACUCCUUUUGAAUGUGGUCUUUUAUGAGAAGGUAAAAAAAUUUAUCUUACUUUUUAAUGCCAUUCAUUGUAAUUUUAUUUUUGGUAUCUUUUUUUUUUACUUCACUUGUGUAAUUUAUUUUUCUUGGAUGGUGAAAUUUUUUUCACCAUUUAGCUGUGUUUAGUUUCUUUUUAUGUUACAUUCUUAUUUUGUUUGCUUUCUCUAGUUUUAUUUUGUUUUUUUUUUCAAUUAUUUGUAAUUUGUUUUACCAUUUUUAUAAUAUUAUUUUCUUUAGGUCUAUUAUUAUCAGAUAUAUAUUUUGUGGUCAUGGUAGAUUUUUUCAUUAAGGAUAUUUUUUUAAAUUGCAAAAUAAAUUAAAAUAUUUAGUCUAUUGUAAAAUUUUGAAUUCUAUCAACGAUAAAAAUGAUAGACAUUUAUCACUGUCUAUUAUUGUUUAUUAUUGAUAGAAUCUAAAAUUUUGCUAUAUGUUGUAAAUAUUUUGUCAAAUUUGUCAUUUUUGACAUUUUCACUUUUCAUUAUCGUCAUGGAUUCUCUUUUUUCACACUUCGUCUCUUUUCUUUUAUUUAACCUUUCUUUAUGAAAUGUUGUAUCUUUCUGCUUUUCUCUCAAGUGAAAUAUUAGAUUUGGUACUUUUUCUUUUACUCAUUUGGUACAUUUCUUGUUGAACCAAGGUAUAAUUUGUUCUUCUUUGAUGGUUCAAAAUAAUCACUCUACGUUUGACUUUGGUUCUUUUAUUAUCUGGCACAACUUUUAUAUAUAGUUAUUUUCUUUGGUAAAUUUAUUAUAUUAUUAGAUAUAUUAAUUUGUUAGUUUUGUGUACUAUCCAAGGCAGUAAAGAAGUGUAGAAUGACAACUCCUUUCUAUUUUCUAAUUCACUUUUACAAAUAUUAGUUUUAGUAGUUUUUUAUUUUACUCAUUUGGUCAUAUAUUUCUUUUCUUUUGGAAUGGAUGUGUAAUUUUAUUUUUGUUGGAUGGUUUGAAAUAUUUAGGUUCAUGUUGUCAUUCUUCUAGUUUUAUUUUUGAAUAAUUAUAAUUUGUGACAAUUUUUAGAAUAAUGACUAAGUGUAGUAAUUAGAGGUUUAAGAAUAACUUGGGUAAUCCGACAACUUGGAUUAUCCAAUCCAUAUUAUAUGGGUUGGGUUGGGUUAGGUUAAAAUAUGGAUUGGAUUGGAUUGGGUUGGGUUGAAAAAAUGAAUUUUUUUUAGUUGGGUUUAGUCUCGGGUUGUAAGGUUGAAAAAUUCGAUCAUAUAUAUAUAUAUAUAUAUAUAUAUAAAUAAAUAUUCCUCUCUUCUCACUCUCAAUCCUCCUUUGCGCGUCGCAUCCCUUUUAUUCUCACAUCUCCUACGUCUUCGACAUCUCCUUCGUCUCUGACUUUCCUUCAUCUCUGACUCUCCUUGUCCUACUUAUCCCGCGCAUUCCUUAUAUUAUCACAUCUCCUCCGUCUUCGACAUCUUCAUUUCUAACUCUCCUCUAUCUUUGAUCUUCACAGUUCAUCUCGUUAGAUCUCAGAUCUCAUAUACUCGCAGUUCGACGUCAUGUUCUUCUUUGUCAAUCUCUUCAGCUUCUGAAUAACCCGACAAUCCAAUUUAUAUUUUAUGGGUUGGUUUAGAAACUUGAUUUAACCCAAAUAACCUAAAAGUAUGGGUUUGGUUGAGAUGUUUCUCAACCCAACCUUACUACACCCUUAACAGCAACUUUUUUAAAAAUUGCAGAUAUAGCAAAAUUCUUUAGUGAUAAACUUCUAUCGCUCAUAGAUUAUUAUGGUCUAUCAUGAUUGAUUUUGACAGAUUUUGCUUUAUUUGUAAAUUUUUUAAAAUGUUGCUAUAUAUUUAAUUAUUUUAAAUUUAAUUACUAUAUUUGCAACUAUUCUUUUAUUUUGUGUGGUUCUUCUAUUAUUUGGUACACUUUAUAUAUUAUUAUUUUCUUUGGUUUUAUUAUAUUAUGAGAUAUAUUCUGUUAAUUUUGUGCAAAAUACUCUACACAUAUUUUACUUGCUAUAUGUUUCUUUUCUUUGAUUCUUCCAUUUAUCUUUUAAUUCUCUUUUGAAUAUUUAUUUUCUUGAAAAUCUUGGAUUGUAUUUUGUGGAUUUUUUUUCUUAACGUGCACUUCAUCUUUUGAGGUCAAAUGUUUAAUCUAUCAUUUGAUUUAUGUAUCAUGGUCUUAUUUAAGAACGGAAGAGUUCACUACAUGUGAAAAAUCAAGACUCUGUUUACGAACUCUUUCCAAAACACUUCUUGGACGUUUCUUUUUGUUUUUGUUUUUGUUUUUUUCUUUGAAAAAUAAGAUAUUUUACAAAACUUUUGAAAAACUGCAUGAGCAAGGAUGUUGGCCACACACAGGGCAAUGAGCAGCAAGGCAACAUGCACCAUGGUGCGCGGAAGAUGUUGUCUUGGUGCCAUCUUUGCACAUGCGGAAGCGAACUUUCAAAUGGCAUUUACAAAACAUUGGGGAAAACACUUUUUUUUCUUCCUAUUUUCUUCUAGAAAGUCUUUCCAGAACAUAUGUAUAUAUAUGUGUGUGUAUAUACAUAUAUAUUUGCAAAAUCUCUCGUUUAAAAGGUCUAUACAAGAACAUGUUCUAAAAGUUUUCUCGCUUCAAAUUCUGUUUACGAACUCUUUCCAAAACACUUCUUGGACGUUUCUUUUUGUUUUUGUUUUUGUUUUUUUCUUUGAAAAAUAAGAUAUUUUACAAAACUUUUGAAAAACUGCAUGAGCAAGGAUGUUGCCACACACACGGCAAUGAGCAGCAAGGCAACAUGCACCAUGGUGCGCGGAAGAUGUUGUCUUGGUGCCAUCUUUGCACAUGCGGAAGCGAACUUUCAAAUGGCAUUUACAAAACAUUGGGAAAACACUUUUUUUUCUUCCUAUUUUCUUCUAGAAAGUCUUUCCAGAACAUAUGUAUAUAUAUGUGUGUGUAUAUACAUAUAUAUUUGCAAAAUCUCUCGUUUAAAAGGUCUAUACAAGAACAUGUUCUAAAAGUUUUCUCGCUUCAAAUUCUGUUUACGAACUCUUUCCAAAACACUUCUUGGACGUUUCUUUUUGUUUUUGUUUUUGUUUUUUUCUUUGAAAAAUAAGAUAUUUUACAAAAUUUUUGAAAAAUUGCAUGAGCAAGGAUGUUGGCCACACACAGGGCAAUGAGCAGCAAGGCAACAUGCACCAUGGUGCGCGGAAGAUGUUGUCUUGGUGCCAUCUUUGCACAUGCGGAAGCGAACUUUCAAAUGGCAUUUACAAAACAUUGUGGAAAACACUUUUUUUUCUUCCUAUUUUCUUCUAGAAAGACUUUCCAGAACAUAUGUAUAUAUAUGUGUGUGUAUAUACAUAUAUAUUUGCAAAAUCUCUCGUUUAAAAGGUCUAUACAAGAACAUGUUCUAAAAGUUUUCUCGCUUCAAAUUCUGUUUACGAACUCUUUCCAAAACACUUCUUGGACGUUUCUUUUUGUUUUUGUUUUUGUUUUUUCUUUGAAAAAUAAGAUAUUUUACAAAACUUUUGAAAAACUGCAUGAGCAAGGAUGUUGGCCACACACACGGCAAUGAGCAGCAAGGCAACAUGGCCACACACUCGUUAGUUGUGAGCUCAACUGGGAUUGAGAGUACAAUUGUCCCGCAUAUCAUUCAUUCCAUUAGCUAAUCGCUUCUGUUGCGAUCCUUGGUGGUUCAACCCAUUUGUUCUUUCAUAUCAAUCGUAGUACAACCCAAUCGCUCUUAAGUUGACUUCUCAUACUUAUAGAUUAUGAUUCUCAAUUAUUUGGCUAAGAUAACUUCCAUCGUGGAGCCUCCCUCUACUCAUUCCAAUCACAUUUCUUAACUUUGGUUUCUCUCAUUAUUUGUUGUCAUUUGCUCAACAAGUAUUUAUAUAAAUCAUCCCAAAUCAACUCCCACUUUUCAGAUUUCCAUGGAUAUAAAAAGAAAUGGUGGCUCAUCAUUGGUACCAUUUCUUUUGUUGAUGGGCAUGAAUUACGGGUCAUUAUGAACUCACCAACAAGCAACCAACCAUUUUGACUCCUUGUUAGUACUUAAAAGUUAACAACUUUAAUCAUCUUCUACUAGAUAAAAUAAGUUGUGUUUUCAAAGUUCAUGUGUAAAGCAAAAGAGAUUGUCUUAUAGUGACUUUAACAUAGAUUACACUCCCAUUGUGAAAUAAUAUAUAACUAUAUUUAUAUCAACUAUAUAUUACAUAUAUAACAAAACCCUAAAAUAAAGUUAAGUUGUCCAAAAUAACAAACUAGCGUCCUCCUUGAAAAAUUAUAAAAAUUUCAAGUUAGAUUGUCUUGGAUUUUAGGAUGUAUUAAGGCUAUCUCCAUGUAUUAGAGAAUAUAAGAAAUUCUAUUUAACAAUUUAAAAAAUUAUAAGAUUUUUUUGUAGCCUUAUCCUUGCAAUUGAAGUAGGAGAUUAAAUCCGAAACUCUUGUCGAAAUUGGGCAAGCAUGCUAGCCUGAAAAGAUUGGUUCCGUCGGAAAACAAGAGGGGUUGGUCAAUAUCGGUUUCAGAAAGUUUCAAAUUGAAAACUUUAAAAAAUUAUUUAUAAGUCGAUCAACCCAAUUAAUAUCAACUGACACUUACUCAUCAAUGUCGAUUUUGUAAAAAAUACCAUCUCCGACCGACCGAUUAACACCGAAGUCGGGAACUUACGCAUACUAGAUAAGUGUAGAGUAUAUAUAUCUUUUUCAAAUUUGAUUAAAUUACCAAAUAUUAUAUCCAAUUCUCUCUACCCUUUUUUUAUCUGCGUUCCCGCCCGCCGCUCGGUGAACUCAUUUGCGCAGCUCUUUCCUCUUUCUCUUCUUUGUCUUCCUCUCGGCUUCACAAUCUUCAUCGUCAAUCUUUGAUCCAGCCUAAGAAGGCACUGUACAUUAUAGGGUUUUAAGUAGAAGGUGAGUUUUCAGAUUGCUUUUAUAUCUUCUGUCAAGCUAUGAUGCUUUUGGUACUUAUCGACCACUUUCUCAUGCAAGAAUAUUUGAGUUGAGAAUUAUUUGCUGAAAUUUUAUGGGUUUAUGGAGUAUUUUCUACUUUGUUUUGGCGGAGUUGAGUUUGCUUCUUAGGUGUAGAGAAGUUUGUUCAGUGUUGUUUUUGUUUUUGAGGCUACAACUCAAUGAAAAAACUCAUUGAGUUCAUGGAAUUAGGGUUUUAUCUUGUUUAAUGGGGAACAGGCAUGUUUGGUAUUGAUUUUGUGCAUUGUACUGGUAGUCGAGAUCGCAUUGCCAUCUUACAGUUGCUUAUUCUUUUUUUUCUUAUUUUCUUGAUAGUUAUUAGACAAUUGAAACCUCAUAAUUCAACCAAAAUGGCGGCCUUCAAUCUCGUUGCGGAUAUGUAUGACCCGGCCUUGAAGCCUCGCUUGCUACAUAAACUUCUUAGGGAGCACGUUCCCGACGAUAAGCGUGCAUUUUCUGAUUAUUCAGAACUUUCAAAUGUGGUUUCUAUGAUCACAUCCCACGAUCUUCUCUCUGAAUCCUCGUCUUCCAAGGACCAAAAGCUGAUUGAUAGCUGGAAAUCCGCUGUUGAUUCCUGGGUCAACCGUUUGUUUCUUCUUCUCUCCAACGAUAUGGUAUAAGCAUGCAUUAAAUUCUAUUUAAAUAAUUUUUUAAUAAUACAUAGCUUUUGCUUUAUACUCCCGUGGAUUUGACUAUUUGUCGGCUGCCGGCUUAUGUGUAGCUUGUUCGAAGAACAGCUGGAACGAAGUUCAGUGGAACUUGUUAAGUUUCAUAAUCAAUGAGUUCGCUGCUGGUUAUUGAGAGAAAAUUUAUAGUUAGUGUUAAUCUAGAAAGUUUGUCGCCUUAGAGCGCCCUUUGCGCUUUGAAAACACCGUUUAAUUCUUAGAAACUGAACAUUUGAACCUUGCUUGCAUAUUUGGCAAUUCAUUGGCAUGCAGGAAGAUAGGGAAUAAUAUUGACUGUCUUUAUUACUUUGUUUUUUAGAUAUUGCUCAACUUCCUUUUGUGGGUUACUAAUUUUAGCAUCCAAUCUUUCUAAAGCCUGAUAAAUGUUGGGCGGGAAUCAUUUUACUUGGAGUGACUUGUCAACGAUGCAGCUCUAGUCGUUUCUUGCAUCAUAUACAGAAUGGCUUCACAAGCUUUUACCUCACAUGCAGGUAACAGUUAGUUUUUUAUGGGAUUGAUUCUAUAUUAUUUCUUUACAUGUAUUAAGUGGCAAAAUGUUAAAUUAUAGUGUACACAUGAAGAAGAAUAAGAGUUAAAUGAUAAGUUAUUCCAUCAGAACUAAGAUACCGGUUACUGUUUGGGACACAUAACUGCAAUAAUUCAACUAUGCUUUUGAGCAUGUGAUGUGGCUGGAUCGUCUUUGACAGUCGACCUGUUUGACUACAGUAAAUAUGUUUGUUCUGAAAUUUGGGUAUGAUUGGUUGUAAGAUAUUCAUCAAAAUGAGUUCUGGACAUGAUUUGUGACAAUAAGUGAUUAUUGUUUCUUGGAAAGAAUGCAAAUCACGCAUUGGGGGUUUCCAAGCUCUUAUUCUUUUCAUUAAUAUAGGAUUGAACAAGUAAGAUAAACUACGGAUGAAAUAGCAGGUCUAACCAGCUCUCCUCGUACAUGAGGGUCCCCAAAGACAUGCAUCGGGCAUGUAUCUGAUUAGCAUAAGAUAGCCUUUGGCAACACUUAAUGAUUGUGGAGCUACUGAAGGACCUAAUGCACUGCUAUUCUUGAGCAUGGUUAUCUGAUAUUUUAUCAAGUGUUAUACAAAGUGCAAUUUUUUUUUCUUCUGAAGACACAAAAGAAUAUAUUCACAAAUAGUGUGUGACGUAGUUCCAGAGCAAUGUCAAGUUCCUUCUUUUUCUGUUCCUUUUAUUUAUAUUGUUUCUGUCUUUAGCUUUACAACUUAUAAUCAUCAAUGCUUUUUUUUAUACUUGAAUGCUACCAAGAAUUUUACAACGUUUUCAUUUUUUGUGUUUUUAUUGUUCAAUAGACAGAUUCUCAGUUUCUGAAGGUGGCCUCUUGUGCUUCAAUCUAUGAUUUAUUCUCGAGGUACAUCUUCAUUUGACCUUGGCAGAAAUCUAUCACACGAAGUUGUCCCUCAAACACAACCCUUUUUUUUAUUCGAAAUGGUAACAAUGUCAUUGAUAAGAUGAAAUUAUAAAAGGAUACCUAUCAAUUGGAUUACAAAAAACUCUUCCAUCGAGUAAUAAGAGAAACUAAAUCAUAAUUAUAAAAAGGGGUAACCAAUUCACCCCAAGUGAGGGUUGUAUGUGUCACUCAAACACAAAUUGAUUUGUUAACUAUACCCUUCCAAAAGCGAAAUUUUUAUGUGCCUUGUGUAUAUUUAACUGAAUACCUCUUAGGAUUUGUUUAUUGUUGAUUCUACAUCGACUUUGUGUCUGUGGAUUCAACUAUUGAAUGCUGACUUGAGAAUAAUAGAUAACUGAUUGAAUCACAUUCUGUAAGUUAUUACUGUCAAGUCGUUUUAUUGCCAAUAUGAGCAUAGAACUAUUGGUUAAGGCAUAUAUCCCACCUCCAUAUGUUGUUGAGCUUAAAAAUAAAAAUUGUCUAUUUAUUUAUUUUUUAAAAUAAAAUAACCACUUUCAUUGAGCAAAAUCAAAGAAAAUUGUCUAAAACUUUUAAGCAAUAUGCUUGACCAUAUUAUUGCUUGUUUCGUGACUUUUUAAGAUGUAUCUUUUACAAAUUAGAUUGGGUAGAUUUCAAAGUGUAAAGAAAGAUGGGACUUCUUGUGCUGGAAGGUCAUUCAACCCUGUUGCAUGAUGAUAAUACUGAAGCUGUUUUGGUAAGUCCAUUUUUCAUGGACUAUUUUCAUGCAUUCAUGAGCUAAAUAAUUUUGUAACAAUGGUAUUUUAAUUAUCUAUGCCAACUGAGAUCCUCUUUGUAAAAAUUUCUUAGUCUUUUGUGAAAUUUUUCAUCUCUCUUUUUGUACUCUUGCUUGGUAUUGGUAGUUGCAACUUUUGUUUUAAAAUAUGUAACUAUCUGCAUGUUGUUUGAUGCAGGAUAAUGCGGUUAAUCUGUUAUGCACCUUGAUAGAUUUCUUCCCCUUCACAAUCCAUCGUCAUUAUGACUCUGUAAGUGCUUUAACAAAUAAUGUGAUAUUGAUUCUGUUUUAAAUUACAAUUUUGGAACUCUGGUAGCUUUCUGACUUUUCUGUUCACUGGUGAUGUAAUCUAAGCUUCCGAAGUUUGUUAUUAUUAUCGUUAUUAUUUUUAAUUUGAUUUAGUUUAAUUUUUUUCCUUCACAAAAAAACUGCUAUAAAAAACUGGAAAGAGAGUGUUUGUAUUACCAUUAGAAGCUGAAAUAAUUAAAUUUUCUCCCAUAAUUGCACUCAACAUCUUCAGCACAUAUGGCUUCAUGCUGUCACUUGUCAGCAUGUUGUUUAUCUAUAGAUCACUAUCUUUGUAAUUCAAAAACUGACAAAGUUUAAAUUCCAUGCCAAAUAGAAAAAAAGGAUUUAUGUUGAAAUAGUUGAUUUUGUUUCUUCCUGAUGAAUUGGAUAUAUUCUAUAGGCCGAAGCUGCAAUUGUUUCAAAAAUAUUUUCAGGGAAGUGUAGUUCUAACAUGCUGAAGGUACUGUGCCUCUUAUGUAGUUUUAAUCAUAGUACAGUAGAUAUUAACGUCAAAUGUCCCCCAUAAUUUUCUCUGUGUUUUAUAUUUCAAAUUUAGAAGCUUGCCCAUUGCCUGGCAUCACUUCCAAAAUCAAAAGGAGACGAAGAUAGCUGGUCUUUACUAAUUCAGAAGAUUUUGUUAUCCAUCAAUAGUCACUUGAAUGAGGCCUUCCAAGGCAUCGGUGAAGGUAUACUGAACUGUAAAACAAGUAAAGCUAUCUCAAUUUAUGAAAAUGGUGACAAUGAUGCAUUUGAAUGUUUUUUGUAGAUUCAAAAGGCAUUGAAGUUGUAAGGUUACUGAUUCUACCAGGAAAAGAUCCUCCACCACCUUUAGGUUGUUGUUCACAAUCAGAAGGUUCCUUGGACAAAAUAAAAAAGAGCUCAGAGCGGAUGUUAACAUCUAGUAUUUCAACCUUGAUGGUUUGCUGUUCCACAAUGAUAACAAGUUCAUACAACCAUCAGGUAGCAACACGUCAUCCAUUUUUUUGUUAUGCUCAUAUUAAAAGAGGAAAUGUUCCCCUCUAUAUGAAUCUAUAUACAUCUACUGUGACACCUCACUUUCUUAAUUAAUAUAAUGAAAUAAAGAAAGUGGUGUUAAAUUGAUCUUUAUUUGUAUUAUAUCAGGUGGCAGUUCCCAUUCGCCGUUAUUAGCUCUUGUUGAGAGAGUGCUGACGAUGGAUGGUUCUUUGCCACCCACUUCAGUGCCAUUUAUGACAUCUCUGCAGCAAGAAUCAAUGUGUUUAGAACUUCCGGUGCUGCAUUCAGUCAGUUUGGAUCUCCUCGUUGCCAUCAUUAAGAGCCUUCGCAGGUGAGGCAUCUACUAUUCAACUACACGGACUAUAUACCAUAAAACCUUUAUGCAGACCCAGACUUUUUCAGUAAUCAAUACCCAUCCAUAAACAUAUCACAUGUGCUUUCUUCCACCUCUACAAGAUGCGAUCAACAAUGAUCUUUCAUGUUUAUAUGAAUACGAAAAUGAUCCAAUGGUAUACAAAGUUUCCACUUAGAUAAGUUGGGAAGAAAAUGUGUGAAGUCUAGCCUGUCAAUUGCCACUGAAAAAAAUAUGGAUGCCAUAUUUUUGUUUAUAUAAUUAUUAUUAAAUUCCUUUUCAGUCAAUUGUUGCCACAUGCUGCAUCAAUUGUACGACUCAUUGUGAAGUACUUCAAGAAGUGUGUCUCUGCAGAACUGAGAGUAAAAGUCUACGCAGUUGCUAAGUCAUUGAUGACGUCUUUGGGUGUUGGUAAGAAUUAUAUUGUGUUUCAUUUGGCAUGGAGAUAAUUAUAAUUAUUGUUUUAAUGUCUAUAUGGAAACAUUGUUUUGGGAUGUAUACUUAUUCAAUGCCGCAUUUGAAUCAGGAAUGGCUGCAUCUCUUUCUCGAGAUGUGAUUGACAAUGUACUAGGUGAUUUGAACCCUGUAAAUAAUGAGAGUUCUGAUCCAUCUAAUGUGAAUCCAAAGGACACGCAAAGAGAUUUACCGCAACACCAUAAUAAGAGAAAACGCCCUUCAGUUCCCACUUCCAUGAAAGGGCAGCACGAGAGGAAUGAACCAGAGGACAUUACCAGCAGCUGUAGCUAUACCUCAGUCCACUUGAGGAUAGCUGCACUUGAGGCUUUGAAGACUCUUCUUACAUCGGUGGGCAUUAUAUAUGUUAUUUGUCUCUUUGGUUAAUUAUUUUGCAUACGAAUUUAUUAAAAAAAGUUAUUAAUGGGAAUAUUUUUGGUUCAUUUGUGUCAAAUGGUUUUUAACUGCUGACUGCUUUAUUUAUUUAUUUGUUUGUUUGUUUUUCGUUGAUUAUUUGUAUAGGCUGGUGCUUUGAGAUCUGAAGAAGGAUGGCGUGCAAAAGUUGAACAUCUUUUAAUAACAACUGCAACAUCUUCUCUUCAAUGGCCACGAGCCUCGGACGACACCUUUUUCCAAGCCAAUGAAUCUAUUGAGGUUUGGGUGGAUUAUCAGUUGGCGGCAUUUCAUGCACUACUGGCUUCUUUUUUGUCUGCUGUCCAUGUACGCCCACUGGCUUUGGCUCAAGGUCUCGAGCUCUUUCGUAAAGGUAAAUCUCUUUUGAUAUUUCGUUUGAUCAUGUGGAAGGCUGGGUUUGAGAACGAGGAUGCUAGAUCACCUUAUUUAUGAGUCAAACUGAUAGGCAUUUUCUUCUUCAGGUAAACAAGAAAAUGGAACCAAACUUGGUGAGUUUUGUGCCCAUGCUCUCUUAGCCAUGGAGGUUCUAAUACAUCCGAGGGUCCUUCCCCUCUCGGAUUUCUUGCCAUUGCGCUUGAGCUCUCCUGAACCACAAGCUGCCUUUAAAUUCCAGGAAGAUCUGUACUUCAACAGUAACGAUUCUAGGAAAUUGUUGAAGGUCGGCCCGCAAAGCAUGGAGCAGAUGGCCUCCGAGGCUCUAAUUAGUGAUGAUGUGGUAGAUAACAAUGAAAUGACGUAUAGCACCUCAAAUGAUAUUGAAAAGGAGCCCUCUGCAAAUGGCAUAGCGAAUAUAGAAAUGCCCAAGAGAACCGAACAGGCCACUGCAGCAGCCAUCUCAGAAGUAGGGGUUGUAGCGGAAGAUGACGUUGAAUUUGCUAAUGCAAGUAUGAAUAGUUCCCCCAUGUCAUCAAAAUCAGAUAAAAUCGAAGAUUUUGGACGGGAUUCGAGCUCGAAUUUAUUGCUAGAAGAUGACUUUCCUGAUAUUAUUGAUGCAGAUCCUGAUACAGACUAUGAAGAGUGAAAAAGGUAUUGUCAAUCAUUGACUCAAUUUUGUAGUUUUAAGGCUUAAGGGUGUUGUUCAGAACUCAAAAUCAAUUAUUAUUGUUGUGUUCUAUUCAUGUAGCCAUAGAUGGCUUGAACUGAUGAUCGAGAAUGGUUAUGUAUAUAAAAAGGUGAAAGUUAGACAAAUUUCAAAAGCUUUGAUUGCUAGUUUCUGAUAAAUUUUCUUUCAAUCAUUUUUAUUUUUUUUCAUUCUUAGAUAAUGGGGUGCCGAUUUGCAAUAUACGUUAGGACAACGAUUAGAUGCAUUAUAGAAUAUACCAUCUUUUAAGUAAUGGUAUUAGAUACGGUAGGACAACGAUUAGAUGUAUUAUAGAAUAUACCAUCUCGUAAGUAAUAUGGUAUCUUUUUGAAGUCCUAAAAUGUUGAGGGAUAAAUUUGUGGGUAUUACAAUCUCGAGAUGUAGUUAAGAUCAACAAUAUCUAAAUAGGCAAUUAAAUAAACAAUGUCUAAAUAGACGAUUAAAUGAACCCUUUAGAAAGAGAGGCAAAAAUAAAAUGACAGAGUGAAGUUUCUUUAAAAAAACUUUUUAAAAAUUAUUGUUUUGAUAAUAACUGAUCGUAGUUAACUACUAGUGCUCAGUCUCUUUUUACAUCUUACUCUAACUUAUCAUCAUGUUUGAAUCAAUUUUUAACUUAUCAUCAUGUUUGAAUCAAUUUUAGGGUUAAGUGAAUGUCAAGUGAAUGUAUUUUGUUCUUACAACAUAUGUGUUAAGUGAAUGUAUUUUGUUCAAACUCAAUUAAUUUAGGAAAAAUGUUUUAAAUAAAAAACUAUUUAAAACAUUUACAAAUAUUAAAAUUUAUAUGUUUAUUAGUAUUUUUGUUAAUUAAUUUUGAAAUUUUAGUCUGUUUUGUAAAUAUGGUUUAUUUUGCUAUUUUGAAAACAAUCCAUUUGAAUGUUGUUUUGUUUAAAUUAUUAGAAUUGUAUUAUUGGAUAAAUAGACAUUUUAAAAAAUAGCAAAAUAUUAAAACUAUUUAUACAAAAUUCCUCAAACUUUUCAUAUAUUUAAGUUUUUCUUUAAAAUUAUAUUUCAUAAAUAGUUUUUUUUUAUCCAUAACAAAUUUUCAUGAUAAAUGGUAAAGCAUAUUAAAUAUGUAAAUAGUUCAACUCAGUUAAUUGUAAUUUGGUCCAUAUCAUACUAAAAAAGUUAUAUGUAUGUUAUUUUAAAAGAGUUCAUAUCAUACAGUUUCUUAAAUUUUAGGUACCAAACUUAUAAGAUACAAAAAUCAAAGUUUAAAAAUAGAAAGUAAAUAUUUUGGCAUUCUAUUUCUAGAAAAAAAAACUCCUUAUAAUAAUUACUAGUAAAAAAAAAAGUUGGUUGAUUUUCAUUUUUUUUUUAAUCUCAACCUUUCAUGUUAAAACUUUAUAUAAAGAUUUUUUUUUAAAUGACAAAUUUAACAGUAAGAUUUUAUAUUAUAUCAAUUUGAUAAAUAUUGAUAGACAUUAAUAUGAUAAUAAAUAUGGAUAGAUAUUCAUAUGUUUUUAUCUGACAAUAAUAGAAGUUUAUUUAGUUUAUCUCGUUAAUAAAAUCUAAAAUGUUUGUCUAUGAUGAAUAUUUUAGUUUAUUUUUGUAUUUUAAAAAAUAUCCCUCCAAAAAACGUAAUUUUUUUCCACUAAAAGUUAUUAAAAUUUAAUAACAAGAGUUGGUGAAUUGCUACAUUGUUAUUUCAUUUAUAUGUCAUUUACAUCCCAUUGUAAUUUACAGAUUUUUUUUUUCAAAUGGUAUGGGUAAGUAAUCAGUGCGGUUUAGUGUAAGGAUUAGUUAUAUUCAAAUUAUAGCAAACUAUCUUAAUUUGAAACUUAACGGCGUCAACGACAAGCAACGGCUACAUUUUUAGGUUUAUUUACUUCAUUCAACUCUCAAAACAAUCUCCGUCGCCAAUUUCUCUCUAGAAUUUUCUUCUUCCGCCUCCGUGCACAGCGUCGAAUCUCCAAACCCUAAUUUAUAAAUGCAAUUCCGAUCCACAAAUUCUUAUGCUACCUCGAUCUCCUCUUUGGGAGCUUCUAUUCCCUAAUCUUUGAUGUCUUGCUUCGUCUGCGGUUGAGGAUCUCGGAGGACCGGAGUCACGGGAGGUCGCUGAUUUGGAUGAAGCCAUGAGUCGAUUGAUGCUCCCUUUUUCAUCUCCUAAGAAGAAUUCCAAAUCCUUGGAUGUGGCUGAUGCUGCUCCUGCCUAUCAUUUUUCAUCCGCUUGAUUUCCUUCCCUUUCUGGUUCAGCUUAUUCUGCUCUCGAUAGGGUUUCCGAGGAUGCUAUCAAUCAGGUUGAUCAGUUCCUUCGUGAGGCUUUGCAUAACCCUCGGAGCGUCUAUCAAGUAAGUUGUUUAUUUAGCUUUCCUUUAUUGUAGAUGGUCAAUGGUGUGAUUGGUUUCAGGAGUUGUCUAAUGUCAUGUUCUGUAGAGGGAGGAGAUAGUUAAAAGUUGCUAGCUACGGCCUUCUCGAAGGUGGGCUGGAAGUGGCUGGUUGCUUCCCGGAUUUGUAUAGGCAGUUUAAAUCAAAUGGUAUUAGAAAUUUAGAAGUAUUAUUGCCAAAAACUACAUGGUGGAUUUCAUGAAGAUGUGAUAUAUGUUUGGAACAGUAUCGUGAAACUAUGUGACAUGAUGUGCUUUUAGGUAAUCCAAGACAAAGGUUGGAUGGUUGUAAGACAAUCUUGGGAAGAUGUGUGGACUAGUGGAGGGUUUUUGGUUAACCGUUUUUCUAGUCGGUACAGGGUGGUGGAUUCGAAGAAUUAAUUGCUGAAGGAGUUGUAGGACUUAAAAGCUGGGUUGCAAAAUGAAUGCAAGACGAAAUUUAGAAGAUGGAGAAGAAAGGGAGAUUUUGUUGCUAUUGGAUGUUCUGAAUACUUAGAGCUAAAUGAUGAAAAUAAAAUAAUUUACGAGCUAAACUUUUGCUGUGAUUGGCGAUGAAUUCCGUCAUGGGGGAAGGCAUGCAGUCUCUGAUUAUCAUCCCCUUGGCCCUUAGGCUUUUUAAAUGAGGCUUUUUCCGUCUUAAUAAUAUUUCUUGUUUCUCAUCAAGAAGAUAAAUGGAGUUAUCUUUUCAGCCUACCAAGCAAAAUUGUUUCUAAAAAAAAAACUAUCACUAUCUAAAAGCAUUAGGAAUUAAAUUUACUGUAGUCAAGAAGAUGCUCAGUAACUGGAAAGCAUUUUUUACCUGUUUUGACACUGAAGCUUCGUUAAACCAAAAGAAAAAGGAGACAACCUAUUGGUAGAAAGGUCUUUACAAUGAUGUAUUGAUGCCUACAAAAUUAUUUUUUUUGUCUAACAUGGUUCUGACUAGUACCAUAACUUCAAGUGCUUAAUUAUUAUCAUGCACUUAUUAUAUUGUUGAAAACAUGGUGUUAAUUAUCUAUUCCCUUC
RNAcentral lists this long non-coding RNA (20473 nucleotides) under Cucumis sativus (cucumber). RNAcentral's name for it is "long non-coding RNA (CSAT_LNC002108)". Lineage: Eukaryota; Viridiplantae; Streptophyta; Magnoliopsida; Cucurbitales; Cucurbitaceae. The record is from RNAcentral.